RNAcentral lists this long non-coding RNA (4916 nucleotides) under Citrus sinensis (sweet orange). RNAcentral's name for it is "long non-coding RNA (CSIN_LNC005090)". Lineage: Eukaryota; Viridiplantae; Streptophyta; Magnoliopsida; Sapindales; Rutaceae. The record is from RNAcentral.
CCACUUUCAAAUGAAUUUUCGAGUCUUCAACAUUGACCAAGCAACCAUUAAACUUCACGUCGCAUUGGCAUACUUUUGUUUCGAUUAUAGCUGCUGCAAGAUCAACUAAAGCAAUUUUGAUCCUUGUGAAGCAGUCUUUGAGUGCAAGCAUUUCACUAUUGUCAAUUUUGGGAAGAAAAAUGCAUAUAAAAGAGAUUACACAUUAGCUCAAGUAAUAUUCGAUUGUCCAGACCAACAUUGAAAAGAAGAUAAAAAGAUAAUGUAAGUAUUUAACCUGAAUAUGGAAAAAAAAUUUAAGAAAAGGUCAAAUUUUCAAUUUGUACUUUUUGUUACUCCCCUGUUAUUGUGGAUGAUAUUCCUAAAAGAUAAUGCAAGCAUUCUUUACACUAGAAAAUCCAUGGCCCACCAUCAUAAAAGGUAAUGCAAUGAAUAGUUUCAACCAUCUCUAAUGAAAUCCCAUGAACAUUAUACACUAAAGAGAAUAAUAAGAUCUGAAUUUUCUUACAUUUAAGCCAAGUAGCACUUAAAAAUCUUCGAGAGCACAAAGCUAUAACAGGUUCAUAUAUAUUAAAAUUAACACUAGACAAUAAAGUGUAAAAAGUGAAAUUCUUAUCUCUGAUAAGCACCCAAAACAAGUGCAGUAGGGUGAAUUUUUCCAUUUUCAAAUUUUCAUUGCUAAUUCAACUAUUAAGAGACUGAAACAUAUGGAAUAAGAAACAUAUUCAACCCAAAAGAUUAUUCAACUUAGAUGACUCAAUAUAUACUUAAUAAGCUUAUGAGCCUUUUUUAAAGAAUAUUAUAAGAUUCCAUAAUUCCAAGGAAUCAAAGUAAAAUUAUAAUAUUCUUUAAGUAGGAGAUACACUUAUUCAGUUAAGUAAGAGAUACACUUACUUGAGUUGAUUUUUAUUUUGGUCAUGUUUCUUUCUUUUCUAUUCCCAUUUAUCUCAUAUUUCUUGUUCUACAUCAACUAGUAAUACCAGCCAAAAAUAAGGAGUUAAAGAACUAUUUUGCAUCAGUUAUACAAAGAACUAUAAUACAGUAUUAUACAUCCCAUAGAAAAGCUAAAAUAACAAUGAAGCACCAUUCAUACCUCCAAAUCUAGCAUUUGAAAACAUUAGAAAUGAAUAGAGGUGGCAAAAAACCCACCUAGACCGGAUCCGGCCCAGACCCGGCGUAUACGGUCCGGGUAAAACCCGGACCGGAUGUAUGGAAAAAGCGGAUCCGGGCAUUGAUUUUCAAUGCCCGGCUGCUUCUGGGCUCGAGUCCGGUCACAGCACCAAGAACUCGGAACCCGGACCCGUGCCUGAUUUUUUAUUAAGUAAAAAAAAGGAAAAUAUAAUAGCGAAAAAACAUUUUGCUUUGCCCAAUUGCCCCAAAACCCAACCCUAAAUCACGACUCGCGAUUGAACGCAACACACAAACUGAAAUCUCUUAACCUUGGCAGUUGGCGCCUCCCUCCGUCUCUCCACCAGCAACCACCACCCACCGGCACCGAUGAAGUGUUGACCGUACCUCUAGCCCUCUACGAACCUCUUACCUCCCUCGGUCAAUUCUUUUCAUUUCGCGCAAAACACAGCUGUCACAGAGCUCUCCACCGUUUGGUCAUCUUCUCAGCGGCAACCACCGCACGACAGCGUCAGCCAUCAUAGUUGGUCUCACUCCAUUGUUUUGUCACCUUAUCAGCUGCAACUUCGCCAUCACAACCACGACCUACGAGUUAUUAUCUUUUUUUUGGCUGUUUUUUCAAAACAAAAUGAUGAAAUUGAGUAAUUGACAUUAUUAUUGUUAGGUGUUAUAUAUAUAUGCUUAAUGUUUUUCUUGGAUGCUAUGGUUGUAUGAUUAUUUUUAAUUAAUGGGAGCUGAAUUUAGAUUUUAAGUUGCUUUAACAGUUUAAAUCAAUUACUUAAUAUUUAUAAUUAUGUAAUUUGUAUGAUAUAAUGAUAAUUUUUUUAUUAAUAGAAGUUGAAUUUAGUGUUUAGGUUGCUUUUAAGUUAAUUUGUUACAUAAUAUUUGUAAUUAUGUAAUUUUUAUGAUUAUUUUUUAUUAAUAGGAAUUGAAUUUAGAUUUAGGUUGCUUUAACUUAAUUUGUUGUAUAACAUUCAUAAUUAUGUAAUUUGUAUGAUAUUUUUUUAUUAAUAGGAGCUAAUUUUAGCAUUUAGGUUGCUUUUAAGUUAAUUUUGUUACAUAAUAUUAUAACUAUGCAAUUUCUAUGAUUAUUUAUAAUUAUUUAUAAUUUUUUCUAUAAUAAACAGCAGUACGAUGUCACAGUCAAACAAUAUAGAAAUUAAUUCAUCAAACGCUCCAAAUUUAUCCCUUAAUGUUGAAGAUAGCAAUGAUAAUGGGUUGAGGAAAUUUCAUUGUUAACUGUUAAAGAUAAGAAGGGAAAGAAAGUCUAUAACACUUGAGAUCUACAAAAGUAACUAUUACUGGAGAACAAAAGGCAAAGUGCAUACACUGUAAUGAAAUUUUAGAAGCCAAAUACACAUUAAGGACCACGAGCUUGAACAGACACGUGAAAUCUUAUUUUUCUAAGAAUCAACCGAAAAUGGAGGAAGCACCUUCAAGGAAGUCUCAAAAUGCUAAAAAAAAAGGAUGGGAGUUGUGACAUUGGCUUCGACAGUUUCGAUCCAAAUGUUUUGCGGAGUUUGAUUGCAAGAAUGGUGGUAAUGCAUGAGCUUCCACUUAGAUUUGUGGAAUAUAAAGGCUUUAGAGAAAUGAUGGCACAUGCCAACUCCGUGGUUAAGCCAAUGAGUAGAAAUACUUUGAAGAAUGAGAUUUUGAAACUGUAUCAUAUUGAGAAGGUUAAGACUUUUCAUUUAUUGGAGAAAAAUCAUGGUAGAGUGGCUAUUACUACGGAUUUAUGGACAACAAGUAACCAGAAAAAUGGAUACAUGGUUGUAACAACACAUUUCAUAGGCCUUCUUUGCUCAUUUUGGAUUUUAUAAAAGUAAAGACUUGAAACAAUUGUUUUGGUUUUGGACAAUGUUACCGGUUUGUUAGUUAAAAGUAAACUUUUAUGUAUGCUUGAAGUUAAAGCAUGAGGGAUACCUCCGCCCAGUGCUUUGAAAAUGCGGGCAGAGAAAACCCAGGAAAAAGCCCGUGCCCGGAUAGUGCCGGGCAUAUGCCCAGCCCGCAUAGGAAAAAUUCGGGCACUGUCCAGGUCCGAGCAGCUAUGUGUGUCAUCUGGGCCAGUCCCGAGCAGCCCCAAACCUGGACUUUUGCCAACCCUAGAAAUGAAGGAAUCUACCAACAAAGAACCCAGUUGGAGAAAGCCAUGAAGAUGCAACUAAAAGCUAAAUGAUGUAAGGGAAGGAAAUAUAUUUCGAAAGAACUCCAAAUUGAAAUCAGGAAGUGACAGAAACUUACCCCCAUUAUAGAACAAAGCCAUUUUAAUCGUUUAACAAAACCGAAUCCCUAUAUUGAAACCAUAAAUUGCACCAAGCAUAGCACUAAAACCAAAGUUGGACUAUAAAGAAAGAGGAAAAAUGUGGGAAAAAAAGAAUUAUUACAACAUGAAAUUGGACUUUUGUUUAAUCUUCCAUUUAGAAAUCUUACAAAAUCACACCCAAAUUUCAAAAAGACUUUUAAAUAUAAAUGUACAAUGAAGUAGAGUACAAAAAUUGACUUAAAAAAAUAGAGCAGAAAGAGUAGAUAUACCAUUUCUAGCCCAUAAUUGGGGCUUAACCUCAAUGCACUGACGAAUCAAGAUGUGAAGCUUGGGGUUUAAGGUCUUCAAAUCCUUGUAAAGCAUGCACAAAUGCAAGCCAAUAAUGUACAAAUACUCGAACCAACAAAUUGUCUUAAUCAAGAUCUCAGAUGCAAUGCAACUUAUCAUGUAUUCACCAAAACUUUAAGACUCCUUUUAACAUAAUCUCGUUGACUUAUCAGAAUGAAAAAGCACAUAUAAUGUGAAGGCAACAAAUCAUAUUCAAGUUAACAUGUACGUAAGAUUCAAGUGUGACUUGACCAAUUCCAUCAAAAUCCUAACCAAGCAAACUCAGCACCAAGAAUCAAUAAGGACAACACAAAGUAACAAAAGAAAUCCUUAACCCUAAUCAUCAAUUAACAACAUUCCCAAGUAUAUACCUACCUAAUUUCAGUCUAAGCAAACAUAAAUUCAGCAAAAUAUCAAAUUAACAAAAUUACCAAGAUAACCAAUUCAUAUAAUGAAUUAGACGAAAUGAAAUGUAUAAAUGAAUGGGUUAAUGUGGAGGAAGAGUAAAAUGCCAUAAUUGCCCCCAAAAAGAUCAUUGAAGGGAAAGUAAAGAACAAGAGAACAAAGUGGUCAAAACGAUAUGUGCCGUCAAGAUUCCGUAAACUUUGCAAAUGAAACCCCAUCGUAGCUAAUUCUCACCUUAGCAGAGAUUGGGGUAAAGCCUCUCCCCAUCUCCGCCUUCCAAAUCUACCUCAAAUUUAUCAUCAUCUUUGCUCCUCACGCUCUCCCAGCCCAACAUCUUCCAAGCGAUUUUGAUUUUUUAAUUUAGAUAAAGCAAGCAAUGAACAGGAAAUGGCAGCGCUUGAGUGAUGGCCAUUAAGUGAAGAACUAGCGUAUGUUGAGUGAUUGGUAGCUUGCAUUGAUUGUUGACUGAUGGCUAUUGAGUUUGUUGGCUUAGAGUUUCCAUUAUUUGUCCCUAUAAGCACUUAAAUUAAGAAAUUUUGUAAGGCUUAAGCUGAUUUGUAAUGUAGAGUGUGAGUGAUUAUAGUGAGGCUUAGGGUUAGGGUUCAAUUCAUUCAACAAUUAUAGAAGAGCAAAGGAGCAAUAGUUGGUUGCCAGGGAGCAGAGCUUGGGGUUCAAUUCGUUCAUCAGUUCUGAAAAGUGUACGGAAUCUAUUUAUUUACAAAAACAAAACGACAUCAUUUUUGUACUUUUUAAUUUUUAAAAAUAAAUUAAAUAUUAACGUCAUGAGAGUAUCAAU